AUAGCGUAUAUUAAAGUUGUUGCAGUUAAAAAGCUCGUAGUUGGAUUUCUGGGAGGGUGCCAAUGUCCGUUUGAUACGUGUGCAGCGGCGCCCUUCCAUCCUUCUGUUAACGUUUCUUGGUAUUAACUUACUGGUUGCGGGCUCAGAUAUUUUACCUUGAGAAAAUUAGAGUGUUUCAGGCAGGCUUGCGCCCGAAUACAUUAGCAUGGAAUAAUAGAAUAGGACUUUGGUCUCCUUUGUUGGUUUGAGGGACUAGAGUAAUGAUUAAUAGGGACAGUUGGGGGCAUUAGUAUUUAAUUGUCAGAGGUGAAAUUCUCGGAUUUGUUAAAGACUAACUACUG
This 341-nucleotide ribosomal RNA is filed under the name uncultured eukaryote. RNAcentral's name for it is "bacterial SSU rRNA". It matches the Rfam family "Eukaryotic small subunit ribosomal RNA", at positions 594 to 945 of the family's 1831-position model. The record is from RNAcentral.